RNAcentral lists this unclassified non-coding RNA (195 nucleotides) under plant metagenome. RNAcentral's name for it is "partial contains small subunit ribosomal RNA, internal transcribed spacer 1, and 5.8S ribosomal RNA". The record is from RNAcentral.
UCUCCGUUGGUGAACCAGCGGAGGGAUCAUUACCGAGUUUACAACUCCCAAACCCCUGUGAACAUACCAUUUGUUGCCUCGGCGGUGCCUGCUACGGCAGCCCGCCAGAGGACCCAAACCCUUGAUUUUAUACAGUAUCUUCUGAGUAAAUGAUUAAAUAAAUCAAAACUUUCAACAACGGAUCUCUUGGUUCUG